RNAcentral lists this ribosomal RNA (468 nucleotides) under uncultured bacterium. Its description in RNAcentral is "partial 16S ribosomal RNA". It matches the Rfam family "Bacterial small subunit ribosomal RNA", at positions 28 to 507 of the family's 1533-position model. The record is from RNAcentral.
GACGAACGCUGGCGGCGUGCUUAACACAUGCAAGUCGAACGGAAAGGCCCUGCUUUUGUGGGGUGCUCGAGUGGCGAACGGGUGAGUAACACGUGAGUAACCUGCCCUUGACUUUGGGAUAACUUCAGGAAACUGGGGCUAAUACCGGAUAGGAGCUCCUGCUGCAUGGUGGGGGUUGGAAAGUUUCGGCGGUUGGGGAUGGACUCGCGGGUUAUCAGCUUGUUGGUGGGGUAGUGGCUUACCAAGGCUUUGACGGGUAGCCGGCCUGAGAGGGUGACCGGCCACGUUGGGACUGAGAUACGGCCCAGACUCCUACGGGAGGCAGCAGUGGGGAAUAUUGCACAAUGGGCGGAAGCCUGAUGCAGCAACGCCGCGUGCGGGAUGACGGCCCUCGGGUUGUAAACCGCUUUCGCCUGUGACGAAGCGUGAGUGACGGUAAUGGGUAAAGAAGCACCGGCUAACUACGUG